GUGCUUACUUCAGCAACACACACAUUAAAAAUUGGAAUAAUACAGAGAAGAUUAGCAUGACCCCUGCAUAAAAAUGACACACAAAUUCAUGAAGCAUUUUAUAUUUUU
Molecule: small nuclear RNA, 108 nt
Filed under: Canis lupus familiaris (dog)
Lineage: Eukaryota; Metazoa; Chordata; Mammalia; Carnivora; Canidae
Also listed under: 1 other name
Source: RNAcentral